GAUGAAGAACGUAGCGAAAUGCGAUAAGUAAUGUGAAUUGCAGAAUUCAGUGAAUCAUCGAAUCUUUGAACGCACAUUGCGCCCCCUGGUAUUCCGGGGGGCAUGCCUGUCCGAGCGUCAUUACAACCCUCAAGCUCAGCUUGGUGUUGGGCCCCGCCGCCCCGGCGGGCCCUAAAGUCAGUGGCGGUGCCGUCCGGCUCCGAGCGUAGUAAUUCUUCUCGCUCUGGAGGUCCGGUCGUGUGCUCGUCAGCAACCCCCAAUUUUUUUCAGGUUGACCUCGGAUCAGGUAGGGAUACCCGCUGAACUUAAGCAUAUCAAUAAGCGGAGGA
Molecule: unclassified non-coding RNA, 329 nt
Filed under: soil metagenome
Description: partial contains 5.8S ribosomal RNA, internal transcribed spacer 2, and large subunit ribosomal RNA
Rfam family: 5.8S ribosomal RNA (bases 1-120)
Source: RNAcentral